CUUCCCUCCCUCGCUCCCUCCCUCCAGGAAUCCAGCGCUGCACCGAAGCCAGAAGAGAGGGAGCAAAACCCAGCCCAGGCCGACAGCCGCGUCCUGAAACCAAACCCGCCCUUCGCGUCGCAAAGGAGAUUUUUUUUUUUUUUUAAAUCAUUAUUAUUAUUAUUAUUUUUAUUUUUAAUACCCCUGACCCGAGCACGGUGGCGGCAGCGGCGCCGGGGCAGGGAGGCUGUCCCGGUUAUUUAUUCUCUCCCCGCAGAGCUGUCCCUCCGGCUCACCAUGAUGUUCCGAGACCAGGUUGGCGUGCUGGCCGGGUGGUUCAAGGGCUGGAACGAGUGCGAGCAGACUGUUGCGCUGCUCUCCCUGCUCAAACGCGUCAGCCGGACCCAGGCUCGCUUCCUCCAGCUCUGCCUCGAGCAUUCCCUGGCAGACUGCACCGAGCUCCACAUCCUCGAAGGGGAGGCCAACAACCCCGGAAUCAUUAACCAGUGGCAACAGGAAUCCAAGGAUAAAGUGAUCUCCCUCUUGUUAACCCACCUGCCUUUACUGAAGCCCGGCAACAUCGAGGCGAAAGUCGAGUACAUGAAACUCUUGCCCAAAAUCCUGGCGCACUCCAUCGAGCACAACCAGCACAUCGAGGAGAGCAGGCAGCUGCUGUCCUACGCCUUGAUCCACCCUGCCACCUCCCUGGAGGACAGGAGCGCCCUGGCCAUGUGGCUCAACCACCUGGAGGACCGCACGUCGGGGGGCUUCGGCGGGCAGGGCCGGGGCCGCUCGGACUCGCUGGACUACGGGCAGGCUCACUACUAUCACCAAAGACAGAAUUCUGACGACAAACUCAACGGGUGGCAGAACUCUCGGGACUCCGGCAUCAGCGUCAGUGCCUCCAGCUGGCAGGACAAAAACCUGGCCUGUGAGAACGGCCACCUGCCCCUCUACUCCUCCUCCUCCGUCCCCACCACCAUCAACACCAUCGGCACUAGCACAAGCACCAUUCUCUCAGGCCAGACACACCACAGCCCUUUGAAACGCUCUGUGUCCCUUACCCCACCCAUGAAUGUGCCAAACCAACCUCUAGGACAUGGAUGGAUGUCUCAUGAGGACUUACGAGCUAGAGGACCCCAGUGCAUCCCUUCCGAUCAUGCCCCCCUGUCUCCACAAAGCAGUGUAGCCUCUUCGGGAAGUGGUGGGAGUGAACAUUUAGAAGAUCAGCCUUCCGCUCGUAACACAUUCCAGGAGGAAGGGAGUGGGAUGAAAGAUGUCCCAGCCUGGCUGAAGAGCCUCCGGCUGCACAAGUACGCUGCCCUCUUCUCCCAGAUGACGUACGAGGAGAUGAUGGCCCUCACCGAAUGCCAGCUCGAGGCACAAAAUGUUACCAAAGGCGCGAGACACAAAAUAGUCAUCAGUAUCCAAAAGCUAAAAGAAAGACAAAACCUGCUCAAAUCUCUAGAAGGGGACAUCCUGGAAGGCGGCAACUUGCGUGUCCCGCUGCAGGAGCUGCACCAAAUGAUCCUCACCCCCAUCAAAGCCUACUCUUGCCAAAACUCGAGCACGGAGGAGCACGGCCGGGACGUGGACUCGCACCACCCCUCCUCCCUGCUGGGCUCGGACAGCCAAGGCUCGGAGUGCAAGGACUCGGCGGGGGCCGGGAUGCAGCAGCAUCACCUGCCGGGGUGCGAGGGCGAGUCCGGGGGGGCCCCUUUGCCCGAGGGUGACCUGCCUGGCCAGUUCACCCGAGUGAUGGGGAAAGUCUGCACACAACUUUUAGUUUCCCGACCCGAUGAAGAGAAUAUAAGUUCCUAUUUACAGCUCAUAGACAAAUGUCUAAUCCAUGAGGCGUUUACAGAGCUCCAGAAGAAGCGGCUGCUGUCAUGGAAACAGCAGGUGCAGAAACUCUUUCGGUCUUUCCCUCGGAAAUCCCUCCUGGAGCUGUCAGGCUAUCGGCAGCAGAGGAGCCGAGGCUUUGGCCAGUCCAACUCGCUCCCGACAGCCGGAUCCGCGGGGGCAGGGCUGGCACGGAGGAACCCCCGGCAGUUCCAGAUCCCCUCCCGCAACCUCCCCACGGCCCGGCUGGGGCUGCUGGGCCCCACGGGGCUGCUGGGCACCCCCCAGCGCAGCCCUGCCGCCAGCCCCGCCAUCCUCAAGCAAGGCAGACAGAACCUGUGGUUUGCCAACCCUGGGGGCAGUAACAGCAUGCCCAGCCGGAGCCACAGCUCGGUGCAGAGGACGCGCUCGCUGCCGGUCCACACGUCCCCGCAGACCAUGCUGAUGUUUCAGCAGCCAGAGUUCCAGGUGCCGGUGACUGAACCUGACAUCAACAACAGGCUGGAGUCCCUGUGCCUGAGCAUGACGGAGCACGCACUCAGCGGUGAGCAUUCCCUCCUCCUGGGGCUCUUCCAGCACGUCCACGCCGCCUCUGCUGAGCCCCCCAGCACCUGCCCCCUGCCCCCCAAAAGCUGGGACAGGCUGUGGCUGUGAGAGCGGGGCCGGGGAGCGGGGAUGCUCCCGGGGAUGCUCCCGGGGGUGUUCAGAUGGGAAUAUCGGCUUCUCUCGGCGAGGCGGCCGGAGCAGGGGGUAAAGCCGAACGCGGGGAUCGCACCAGCACUAGUGGAGUCUGUGCUAAUUAGCCACUCGUCAGCUUGCUAAUGAUAAUUAGUGUUAGCUCGCUACUCUCGUUAGCUCUCGAUAAAGCCCCUGCUGCCGGCGCGCUCGGAUGGGUCACGGGCUUUGGAGCGUUGUGCCCUUCCACCACCGGAUCCCUCAAUUGUCUGGGGGUGCCCCACAGCUGGGGGCUGAAUCCCUGCCGGGGGCUGUGCCACACACAGCCGGGGGUGCCAGUGGAUAAUGGGCACGGGGAGGGAGGAGGACCGGGGCAAAAACAAGCAGGGAAGAUGGAAAAGGCAGCAGCAGAGCGAUGGAGAGCCCGCUGCAGCACCAAGCACCGGCACCAGAAGCUCCCGGUGUCCCGUGCCCACGCUCUGGACCCCCAAGCACAAGGGAUGACCCCCAGUGAUGGGAUGAGCACGGCCACCAGCAUCACCCGGACUCCCAAGUGACCGGCUCGGGUCUCGCUGCGGAAAUCCUGGACUGUGACGGACGCUUGAGGACGGGAGCCCUCGGAGAGCACGAGUGCCACCAGGAGCCCUCGGGGAGGACAAGUGCCACCAGGCCCCCUGCAGGUGCAACAGCCUUUCCCGGGGAGAGGAACAGGAGAACAAGGACUGUGGGAAGCAGCAGGGCCCUGGCAGCAUCCCUGGCUGGGAAAACAAGGACACUUCUGUCACCCGAAGCGUUUCUCCGGCGUGUGCCCAGCCGAGGCUUAGCUGUCUUGUUCCUCUGCAGGAUGGUGUCGACAGAACCUCCACGAUCUAGAAGGCGUCGCCACGGGGACGCUGGCUGGGACAACAACUGCUGCGGGUCCAGCGGCGAGGUCGGGGCUUGAGGGAGCCUCAGCGAUAGCUUGCAUCCUUUCUCCUCUCUCCUCUCCUCUCUCUCUCUCUCUCUCUCUCUCUCUCUCUCUCCUGUUUUAAUUUUGUGAAUGUGUAGAUUGUCCUUGUGAACAUAUCAUUAGACUUGGAA
Molecule: non-coding RNA, 3576 nt
Organism: Cyanistes caeruleus (blue tit)
Lineage: Eukaryota; Metazoa; Chordata; Aves; Passeriformes; Paridae
Source: RefSeq, a predicted model, not a curated record